GUAUCUCUGCUCUAAAAGAACGUACGUACCUGGGCCCUCCUACUAUCCUUGGAAAGGUAAAAUGAUUGGCUAGAAUCCAAAGUGUAUGACAUCUCAGGAAAAAAAAAGACCUGAAAUAAAGCACCGAAAUGUGCGCUGCUUUUCGGUCUGGUUACCACCGUUUAUGUCAGAACUGGUGCCAUAAUGGCACCGGAUACUGGUACCCAUCCCUAGUCUGCUCCAAGCAUGCCACAUUUAACUGAUCUGGAUGGGGGCAACUUCAAGAUAGUGUCCGCAAAAUCCAAGUUGCUGCAUUAUUUGGAGUGAGCCCGAGUACAGUCACUAAGCUAAAAGCCAACUUUGAUAUACAGCCCUCCCUCGCUAUAACGCAGUUCACCUUUCGCGGCUUCACUGUUUCACAGAUUUUUUGUGUGUGCAAUUUUGCAGGCUUUCUUUUUUUUUUUUUUUUUUUUUUUUUUUUUUUACAGCGCAUUGUGUUCUGCAUCCUGAUUGGCUGUAGACCAUUGUCAAUCAAUCUCCUCUGUGUCUCCUGUACAGUACAGAAUGCGUUCAGCUUGUCAAAUUUACAUAAAUCUUUGUUCGCUAGCAGUGUGACUCUGAAGUGCUGCACUGUAUGUUUGUAAGUUUUCUCCUCAACAAACACAACAAUGUCGACGAAACGUUUUGUACCGUCAUCUGGGUACUUAUGACCAGAGUGUGUCUCAACAGCAUUUUUCAUUUUUCAACUUCCUCCAUUUACUUCUUGCCUCUAUCUCUUUCACACACACACACACACACACACACACACACACACACACACACACACACACACACACACACACACACACACACACACACACACACACACACACAGGGCAGAUUGUUGAUUGUUUUCUCCUUUCUUUUCACUUACAGGUGCCUUGGUCAUUGUCAUACUAUACUAUGUUACUAGGGGUGCAACAACACUCGUAUCGAUAUUGAACCGUUCGAUACAGUGCUUUCGGUUCGGUACGCAUAUGUAUCGAACAACAUAAAAUUA
Astatotilapia calliptera (eastern happy) is the source of this 1018-nucleotide long non-coding RNA. Lineage: Eukaryota; Metazoa; Chordata; Actinopteri; Cichliformes; Cichlidae. The record is from Ensembl.